This 119-nucleotide ribosomal RNA is filed under the name Pteropus alecto (black flying fox). The record is from RNAcentral. Lineage: Eukaryota; Metazoa; Chordata; Mammalia; Chiroptera; Pteropodidae. RNAcentral also lists the same sequence under 1 other name.
GUCUACAGCCAUGCUAAUCUGAACAAGCCCGAUCCUGUCCGAUCUCAGAAGCUAAGCAGGGUUGGGCCUGGUUAGUACUUGGAUGGAAGACCACCUAGGAAGACCAGGUUCUGUAGGCA